AUCAAAAUACUUUGUAUCAUAAUAUAUCAUAAUUUUUUAUUGAAUAUGUGCAUAAUUGACGUACCAUAAUAUUUCAAAAGUACUUUUCUUUCAAAACAUAAUUCAUAAUUCAUGCAUAAUUUCAGAGAAUAAUUAUUUAUUUUCAGAAUAAAUAUGAAAUAUCUCGAGAAAAUGAUUCAUUACUUACCUUUCACGGAGCACUGAAUGAAUAGAUCGACUAACUUCUAGAAGAUUCUUCAGUGCCUAUUAUCCAAAAUUAUAUUUUUACAUUAAUUUUAAUUCAAAAUUAAAUCUAAACAAAUCCCAAAUCAAAAUCUCACUUAAAAUCAGACUCUUCCCUAAACUC
Molecule: long non-coding RNA, 346 nt
Filed under: Elaeis guineensis (African oil palm)
Lineage: Eukaryota; Viridiplantae; Streptophyta; Magnoliopsida; Arecales; Arecaceae
Description: long non-coding RNA (EGUI_LNC076538)
Source: RNAcentral